This 253-nucleotide ribosomal RNA is filed under the name uncultured bacterium. Its description in RNAcentral is "partial 16S ribosomal RNA". It matches the Rfam family "Bacterial small subunit ribosomal RNA", at positions 524 to 776 of the family's 1533-position model. The record is from RNAcentral.
UACGUGGGGGGCAAGCGUUGUCCGGAAUCAUUGGGCGUAAAGAGCGUGUAGGCGGCUCGAUAAGUCUGCUGUGAAAGUCCAGGGCUCAACCCUGGAAGGCCGGUGGAAACUGUCGGGCUAGAGUCCGGAAGAGGCGAGUGGAAUUCCCGGUGUAGCGGUGAAAUGCGCAGAUAUCGGGAGGAACACCAAUGGCGAAGGCAGCUCGCUGGGACGGUACUGACGCUGAGACGCGAAAGCGUGGGGAGCAAACAGG